UACGUAGGGGGCAAGCGUUGUCCGGAUUUAUUGGGCGUAAAGAGCGUGUAGGCGGCCAGACAGGUCAGCUGUGAAAACUCGAGGCUCAACCUCGAGACGUCGGCGGAAACCAUCUGGCUAGAGUCCGGAAGAGGAGACUGGAAUUUACGGUGUAGCGGUGAAAUGCGUAGAUAUCGUAAGGAAGACCAGUGGCGAAGGCGGGUCUCUGGACAGUUCCUGACGCUGAGGCACGAAGGCCAGGGGAGCAAACGGG
RNAcentral lists this ribosomal RNA (253 nucleotides) under uncultured bacterium. RNAcentral describes it as "partial 16S ribosomal RNA". It matches the Rfam family "Bacterial small subunit ribosomal RNA", at positions 524 to 776 of the family's 1533-position model. The record is from RNAcentral.